Molecule: ribosomal RNA, 305 nt
Filed under: uncultured bacterium
Lineage: Bacteria
Description: bacterial SSU rRNA
Rfam family: Bacterial small subunit ribosomal RNA
Source: RNAcentral
UUCCCUACGGGACGCAGCAGUGAGGAAUAUUGGUCAAUGGGCUUACGCCUGAACCAGCCAAGUCGCGUGAGGGAAGACUGCCCUAUGGGUUGUAAACCUCUUUUGUCGGGGAGCAACGAGGCCACGUGUGGCCGAAGUGAGAGUACCCGAAGAAAAAGCAUCGGCUAACUCCGUGCCAGCAGCCGCGGUAAUAUGGAGGAUGCGAGCGUUAUCCGGAUUUAUUGGGUUUAAAGGGUGCGUAGGCGGAACAUUAAGUCAGCGGUAAAAUCGAGGGGCUCAACCCCUUUAAGCCGUUGAAACUGGUG